RNAcentral lists this ribosomal RNA (302 nucleotides) under uncultured bacterium. RNAcentral's name for it is "partial 16S ribosomal RNA". It matches the Rfam family "Bacterial small subunit ribosomal RNA", at positions 508 to 809 of the family's 1533-position model. The record is from RNAcentral.
GCAGUCGCCGCGGGAAUACAGAGGGUGCGAGCGUUAAUCGGAUUUACUGGGCGUAAAGCGUGCGUAGGCGGCUUCUUAAGUCGGAUGUGAAAUCCCUGAGCUUAACUUAGGAAUUGCAUUCGAUACUGGGAAGCUAGAGUAUGGGAGAGGAUGGUAGAAUUCCAGGUGUAGCGGUGAAAUGCGUAGAGAUCUGGAGGAAUACCGAUGGCGAAGGCAGCCAUCUGGCCUAAUACUGACGCUGAGGUACGAAAGCAUGGGGAGCAAACAGGAUUAGAUACCCCGGUAGUCCCUGUCUCUUAUAA